UCCACUAGUCUGCUAGUCUGGACUGAUAUGGUUAGCUUUUUUUUUUUUUUUGAGAUGGAGUCUGGCUCUGUUGCCCAGGCUGGAGUACAGUGGC
Molecule: microRNA precursor, 94 nt
Filed under: Pan troglodytes (chimpanzee)
Lineage: Eukaryota; Metazoa; Chordata; Mammalia; Primates; Hominidae
Description: miRNA (ENSPTRG00000047533.1)
Source: RNAcentral